GAUUUUCAGAGCUCCACAGGUUGCAUUUGCUCUCCACUUGUUUGGUUUUUUAUCUUAUUUUUCUGAGCUCCUGUAGACCUGGCGUGGGCUAAGUGCGGUGUUGAGGCUGGUAGCAACGAACUCUAAAAUUCUGGCCUUGUCGCUGUCGUGGCUGUGCUGCGGUCCUUCUUUUUUCCAGUUUUUUUUCUGCUCCUUGGUGUGUUGUGGAGCUCCGUGAAUCAUGGCUGGUGGCUGCUGGAGGUUCUUUUGCUUUGGCUCUCUUGUCUAGGUUCUAGGUGUUGGCGGCUCAGUCCGGUGGGCAGAGGCUUUGGUGGUUGUGCUAAUUAUGCAUUGCUACUGUGUGGAGCGACACCACCCUGGUCUUCUGUGUUUUGAUUUUUUCGACGGCUGUAGUGGAAAAGCGCUCUCAAGUGGAUUCUUGUUGAUGAUUCCUCGUGCUGGAGUGGCGUCGAUGGCGGUUUUGUUUUCCUUCGAGAUCUAGGUUUAGUGGUGCGGGGUUGCCGUGAAAGUGCAUGCGGAGGGAGCAUUACAAGUGUGCCCCAGAUAGUUGCUCUGAAGCUGCAAAGGACGCGUGGAGGCUUGUGAAUCACUUCUAGUUCUCUCGGAGGCAUGUAGCGGAUUCUUUUCAUUGUAAUUGUGUGAUCAUCGGAGCAAGUUGUGCUCCAAUUAUUGCUCCACCGUGUCUACAAGUGCUCGCAACUCUAUUGAUGAUUGUAGUGGGUCUAGUGGCACUAUCCCGUUUUUUCAUUUCUCAUUGUUUUGUGGUGCUAGAACUUUCGUGGUCAACUUCGUCGAUCGCUGCUGUCCUAUCUCGAGGACAAAAUUAAAGGUUGUGUUAAGGGUCGUAGAAGAGAAGGUUCAAGACGGCAGCAGAUCAGAUACACUAGUAUUGAUUUAAGGAAAUUAGCGCUUGGUGGACUCCAAAAUGUUACUUGCACAUCUUCGACUCCUUUUGCACUAAUGGUCUAGGAUUGUUUUUUUUCCUUCUGCGGGUGCCGCGGUGGUAGUGCUGCAAUCGGGUUUGCGGAUAUUUGAAAUUUUGAAGUCGUUGCUAAGGUGCUGACAAUCAGGGCUAAGGAAGCUGGUUGUUCAACAACAGUUUGGCGCUCACGUUUGGUUGAUUUUGGCUCCUCUCCAGUGGAGUAGUGGUCCUAACCACUUGUUCAUUAAAUUUUUAUUCCAUUCAACAAGGGCUGCGGUUGUGCUCUCCUAUGUUGACGGUGCCUGGUUUGGCAUCCUAGCUUGUCAUAGUUCCUCUAGUUGUUUGUGUUGAAUCCAAGUAUUGCUGCUGUUCUAUGGUUGUUGUUUCGGCAGUCGCAUUGCAGUGAUAAUGCGGUGCUGUGUCGGAUUAGAUCUUUAAUUUCCUUAGGAUGCGGUUCUUCUUGCAACCCGGAGGCUCGGGUUGACCACCUCCGCUGCGGCAAAUGAUCUUCCAAGUCCAUAUCAUCCAAUUCAUAUCCUUGAGCUAGAGCCUUCUCAUCAAUCAAGCUCUGCUAGGUUGUGGAUAUCGGUAUUCCAGCAAGGUGCUCUCAGGCAGAUUCGGCAUUCAGUGGGUACAAAUCCUAAGCAGCUCGAAGAGGGGGAUCUAGUGCCAGCAGAGGCUUGUCAUUUUACUCUCUAUAGUUGCGGUCGGCAAAUACCAUGGUGCAGUGAUGAGCGAGUGGCUGACCAACUGCUGCGAUCAGACGAUCUGGAUUUCCACAUGGAGUGAAGGAAGGGUCACUAUUGCGGAGAAUCCUCGACGCUUCCGAGGGAACACUGCGAAGGUCAUGGCACAUUGUAAUUGAAGUGAAGUUGAUUGAUGACGUUAAUUGUUGCUGCUAGCCACUAAUGUCAGGUAGCUUUAGGUUGUGUAAUCGAAGCUCGUGAAGCAAGCUCCGUAGCAAGCUCACCUUGGAGAGCCAAGGUAGAACCACAGCUACCCUUAAUCGUUGAUAGUAUUGAAUAGGAGCUCAUGCAGUCAUUAGAUAGUGGGUGCUACUGUUAAGAAGGAGCUCAAGGUUCGUUGUCCAAGUUUUUCAAGUUGUGAGAAUUUCCAAUACUUUUGUGUAGAACAAGGGUUUAAUACUAAAUUGAAUGGAUUUACGAUUAGAUGAGAAUUGAAUGAAUUAGGUUAGAGGAUGGAUUUUUGUA
Long non-coding RNA from Physcomitrium patens, 2133 nucleotides. RefSeq lists it as uncharacterized. Lineage: Eukaryota; Viridiplantae; Streptophyta; Bryopsida; Funariales; Funariaceae. The record is from RefSeq and is a predicted model, not a curated record.